Molecule: ribosomal RNA, 374 nt
Filed under: uncultured organism
Description: partial 16S ribosomal RNA
Rfam family: Bacterial small subunit ribosomal RNA
Source: RNAcentral
GUAGGUGGCAAGCGUUGUCCGGAAUUAUUGGGCGUAAAGCGCGCGCAGGCGGUCCUUUAAGUCUGAUGUGAAAGCCCACGGCUCAACCGUGGAGGGUCAUUGGAAACUGGGGGACUUGAGUACAGAAGAGGAAAGCGGAAUUCCAAGUGUAGCGGUGAAAUGCGUAGAGAUUUGGAGGAACACCAGUGGCGAAGGCGGCUUUCUGGUCUGUAACUGACGCUGAGGCGCGAAAGCGUGGGGAGCAAACAGGGAUUAGAUACCCUGGUAGUCCACGCCGUAAACGAUGAGUGCUAAGUGUUGGGGGGGUUUCCCGCCCCUUAGUGCUGCAGCUAACGCAUUAAGCACUCCGCCUGGGGAGUACGGCCGCAAGGCUG